Molecule: ribosomal RNA, 498 nt
Filed under: uncultured bacterium
Lineage: Bacteria
Description: partial 16S ribosomal RNA
Rfam family: Bacterial small subunit ribosomal RNA
Source: RNAcentral
GACGAACGCUGGCGGCGUGCCUAAUACAUGCAAGUCGUGCGGACCUUUUAAAAGCUUGCUUUUAAAAGGUUAGCGGCGGACGGGUGAGUAACACGUGGGCAACCUGCCUGUAAGACUGGGAUAACGCCGGGAAACCGGGGCUAAUACCGGAUCGUUUUUCCUCCGCCUGGAGGCAAAAGGAAAGGCGGCUUCGGCUGCCACUUACAGAUGGGCCCGCGGCGCAUUAGCUAGUUGGCGGGGUAACGGCCCACCAAGGCAACGAUGCGUAGCCGACCUGAGAGGGUGAUCGGCCACAUUGGGACUGAGACACGGCCCAAACUCCUACGGGAGGCAGCAGUAGGGAAUCUUCCGCAAUGGACGAAAGUCUGACGGAGCAACGCCGCGUGAGUGAAGAAGGCCUUCGGGUCGUAAAACUCUGUUGCCGGGGAAGAACAAGUGCCGUUCGAACAGGGCGGCGCCUUGACGGUACCCGGCCAGAAAGCCGCGGCUAACUACGUG